GUUGUUCAUAGGAAUAAACAAAAUAGUCUAUCUUUUGAUAAUUGUGCCCAAUUAUCCCUUAUUAGGCAUCUCAUGACUCUUAAAAAAAAAUUACAAGAUGAUUUGAGCUAAUAGCUCGUUAAGAAUGCCUACACAUCUACCAACAUAAUAAUAUAAAUUUAAAAUUAAUAAAUAAUUAUUACUAAUAUAAACAUAACACCAAA
This 203-nucleotide long non-coding RNA is filed under the name Elaeis guineensis (African oil palm). Its description in RNAcentral is "long non-coding RNA (EGUI_LNC071156)". The record is from RNAcentral. Lineage: Eukaryota; Viridiplantae; Streptophyta; Magnoliopsida; Arecales; Arecaceae.